This 220-nucleotide ribosomal RNA is filed under the name uncultured bacterium. Its description in RNAcentral is "partial 16S ribosomal RNA". It matches the Rfam family "Bacterial small subunit ribosomal RNA", at positions 57 to 305 of the family's 1533-position model. The record is from RNAcentral.
GCAAGUCGAGCGCGACCUUCGGGUUGAGCGGCGGACGGGUUAGUAACGCGUGGGAAUAUACCCAGUUCUAAGGAAUAGUCUCGGGAAACUGAGGGUAAUACCUUAUACGCCCUUCGGGGGAAAGAUUUAUCGGAAUUGGAUUAGCCCGCGUUAGAUUAGAUAGUUGGUGGGGUAAUGGCCUACCAAGGCGACGAUCCCUAGCUGGUCUGAGAGGAUGAUC